Molecule: ribosomal RNA, 371 nt
Filed under: uncultured organism
Description: partial 16S ribosomal RNA
Rfam family: Bacterial small subunit ribosomal RNA
Source: RNAcentral
GUAGGUGGCAAGCGUUGUCCGGAAUUAUUGGGCGUAAAGCGCGCGCAGGCGGUUCUUUAAGUCUGAUGUGAAAGCCCACGGCUCAACCGUGGAGGGUCAUUGGAAACUGGAGAACUUGAGUACAGAAGAGGAAAGCGGAAUUCCACGUGUAGCGGUGAAAUGCGUAGAGAUGUGGAGGAACACCAGUGGCGAAGGCGGCUUUCUGGUCUGUAACUGACGCUGAGGCGCGAAAGCGUGGGGGAGCAAACAGGAUUAGAUACCCUGGUAGUCCACGCCGUAAACGAUGAGUGCUAAGUGUUGGGGGGUUUCCGCCCCUUAGUGCUGCAGCUAACGCAUUAAGCACUCCGCCUGGGAGUACGGCCGCAAGGCUG